GACGAACGCUGGCGGCGUGCUUAACACAUGCAAGUCGUACGGUAAGGCCCUUUCGGGGGUACACGAGUGGCGGACGGGUGAGUAACACGUGAGUAACCUGCCCACAACUUUGGGAUAACGCUAGGAAACUGGUGCUAAUACUGGAUAUGUGCUCCUGCUGCAUGGUGGGGGUUGGAAAGCUCCGGCGGUUGUGGAUGGACUCGCGGCCUAUCAGCUUGUUGGUGGGGUAGUGGCCUACCAAGGCGGCGACGGGGAGCCGGCCAGAGAGGGUGAGCGGCUACAUUGGGACUGAGAGACGGCCCAGACGCCUACGAGAGGCAGCAGUGGGGAAGAUUGCACAAUGGGCGCAAGCCUGAUGCAGCAGCGCCGCGUGCGGGAUGACGGCCUUCGGGUUGUAAACCGCGUUCAGCAGGGACGAAGCUUUUUGUGACGGUACCUGCAGAAGAAGCACCGGCUAACUACGUG
This 465-nucleotide ribosomal RNA is filed under the name uncultured bacterium. RNAcentral's name for it is "partial 16S ribosomal RNA". It matches the Rfam family "Bacterial small subunit ribosomal RNA", at positions 28 to 507 of the family's 1533-position model. The record is from RNAcentral.